CAGAAAUGGUCGCCAGGCGGCUCUAAACACACGGAAAACGCAGGAGAAGCGGGUGAGCCCCUGACAGAGGAGUAAAUCUGCAGAUCAACACAAAUCCUCCAGUUUCCACCUCCUCCAACAGCAGUAGCUGUCAGCUUUCACCAGCCGCCCGGCGCGUUCUGCGCUCCCGACCUUCGGAUCAUAGCCUAAUCAUCCGUGCGAUUGUUGGAGUUCACGGUAUUGUUAAACUGCUGCAUUGAGCUUCUGGAUUUCUGCUGCGCUUCUUCAUUCUGUGGAUCUGUAGAGAAGAUAUAGAUAGAUAGAUAGAUAGAUAGAUAGAUAGAUAGAUAGAGUUAUCAGAGAGAAUGAGGGUGUGAGACAGAAGGUUUUAAGGGUGAAGGAGCAAUGUGACGGUUGGAUUCCUCCUAUAGCUCACCGGCUACAAUGGACCAAAUCAUACACUGAAACAUCACAGCUCAAGACACAAUGGUCCUUGUUUUUUCCUGUCAUUAACAACUGCACAGCCGACCACAGUCAAUCCCACAAAUGGCAAUAGCAGUGGUAAGUGCUUAUUAUUUAAAGUUAACAUAAUAACAGUAUUAAUAAUAAAAUGAGCAUUGCUGUUUUUUCUUCCCAAAUCCUUUCGGUUCUAAAUGAAGAGCAAGACAAAAAUGAGUAAUAAUUUUAUUUAGCAGUUUAAUAUUCACUGAAGCUAAAUUCUUACAAAUUAAAAUGUC
Molecule: long non-coding RNA, 716 nt
Filed under: Carassius auratus (goldfish)
Lineage: Eukaryota; Metazoa; Chordata; Actinopteri; Cypriniformes; Cyprinidae
Description: lncRNA (ENSCARG00000033932.1)
Source: RNAcentral